Molecule: ribosomal RNA, 357 nt
Filed under: Eucampia antarctica
Lineage: Eukaryota; Bacillariophyta; Thalassiosirophyceae; Eucampiales; Eucampiaceae
Description: partial Bacterial large subunit ribosomal RNA
Rfam family: Bacterial large subunit ribosomal RNA
Source: RNAcentral
AGCUGGUUCUCCCCGAAAUGCGUUUAGGCGCAGCGGUAGAUGUUAUAGCUUAGGGGUAAAGCACUGUUACGUAUGCGGGCUGGUAAUUCGGUACCAAAUCGUUGCAAACUAAGAAUACUAAGUGUAUAGUCUACCAGUAAGACUAUGGGGGAUAAGCUCCAUUGUCAAGAGGGAAACAGCCCAGAGCACCAGUUAAGGCCCCUAAAUAAUUACUAAGUGAUAAAGGAGGUGGGAGUGCAUAGACAAUCAGGAGGUUUGCUUAGAAGCAGCAAUCCUUUAAAGAGUGCGUAAUAGCUCACUGAUCGAGUAAGCCUGCGCCGAAAAUGAACGGGACUAAGUAAUUUGCCGAAACUGUGC